Molecule: small nuclear RNA, 141 nt
Filed under: Pediculus humanus corporis (human body louse)
Lineage: Eukaryota; Metazoa; Arthropoda; Insecta; Psocodea; Pediculidae
Description: U4 spliceosomal RNA
Rfam family: U4 spliceosomal RNA
About the family: U4 small nuclear RNA (U4 snRNA) is a component of the major U2-dependent spliceosome. The structure of U4 snRNA from yeast and human has been reported.
Source: Rfam by way of RNAcentral
AGCUUUGCGCAGUGGCGAUAUCGUAACCAAUGAAGGUUUACUGAGGUGCGAUUAUUGCUAGUUGAAAACUUAUACCAAUACCCCGCCUAGGAAAUGUGUAAUACCAUUUCCUAUGGCAAUUUUUGAAAGCUUCUAAGGAAG